RNAcentral lists this ribosomal RNA (745 nucleotides) under uncultured bacterium. RNAcentral's name for it is "bacterial SSU rRNA". It matches the Rfam family "Bacterial small subunit ribosomal RNA", at positions 68 to 813 of the family's 1533-position model. The record is from RNAcentral.
CCCUUGACAGAGAGUUCGGCCAAUGAAGAGGAAUGUUUAGUGGCGGACUGGUGAGUAACGCGUGAGGAACCUGCCUUUCAGAGGGGGACAACAGUUGGAAACGACUGCUAAUACCGCAUGAAGCAGCGAGGGGACAUCCCCUUGCUGUCAAAGAUUUAUCGCUGCAAGAUGGCCUCGCGUCUGAUUAGCUAGUUGGUGGGGUAACGGCCCACCAAGGCGACGAUCAGUAGCCGGACUGAGAGGUUGACCGGCCACAUUGGGACUGAGAUACGGCCCAGACUCCUACGGGAGGCAGCAGUGGGGAAUAUGGGGCAAUGGACGCAGAGUUUGACCCAGCAACGCCGCGUGAAGGAAGAAGGCGUUCGGGUUGUAAAGGUCUUUUAACAGGGAAGAGAAGAAGACGGUACCUGUUGAAUAAGCCACGGCUAAGUACGUGCCAGCAGCCGCGGUAAUGAGUAGGCGGCAAGCGUUGUCCGGAUUUACUGGGUGUAAAGGGCGAGUAGCCGGGAAGGCAAGUCAGAUGUGAAAUCUGGAGGCUCAGCCUCCAAAGGGCAUUUGAAACGGGUUGUAAUGAGGAUCGGAGAGGUAGUCGGGAUUCCGUGGGUAGCGGGGAAAGGGGGAGAUAGAAGGAAGAACACCAGUGGGGAGGGCGGAUUACUGGACGACAACUGACGGUGAGGCGCGAAGAGCGUGGGGAGCAAACAGGAGUAGAUACCGCUGGGAGUCUCACGCUGUAAACGAUCAA